AUUAGGUUUUGGGGCUAGGGUUAGGUUUAAGGUUUUUGGCGUUAGGGUUAAAAUAACUGUCCAAUAUUUUUUAAGGAACAUGUUUCAGACCUUUGGGAGUUAGUUAGACAAAAAAAAAAGAAAAAGAAAAAAAAAUAUUUGGGGUGUUCGGGUUUCCUGAAGGUAAUAACCGGGUAUUAGGUUAUGGGGCUAGGGUAAGGUUUAAGGUUUUUGGCGUUAGAGUUAAAAUCAGUGUCCAAAACCUUUUAAGGAACAUGUUUAAGACCUUUUGGAGUUGGUUGCACCCAAAAAAAAAUGUAAAAUGAAAAAAAAAAUAUGUGGGGUGUUCGGGCUUCCUGAAGGUAAUACCCGGGUAUUAGGUUUUGGGGCUAGGGUAAGGUUUAAGGUUUUUGGUGUUAGGGUUAAAAUCACUGUCCAAAACCUUUGUAGGAACUCUUUUCCAACCUUUUGGAGUUAGUUAGACCAAAAAAAAAAAAAAAUGAAAAAAAUAUAUUUGGGGUCUUCGGGCUUCCUGAAGGAAAUACUCAGGUAUUAGGUUAUGGGGCUAGGGUAAGGUUUAAGGUUUUUGGCGUUAGGGUUAAAAUCAAUGUCCAAAACCUUUGUAGGAACUCUUUUCCAACCUUUGAGAGCAAGUUAGACCAAAACAAAAAGAAAAAUAAAAAAUAUAUAUUUGGGGUGUUCGGGCUUCCUGAAGGUAAUACCCGGGUAUUAGGUUAUGGGGCUAGGGUAAGGUUUAAGGUUUUUCAGCGUGAGGGUAAAAAUCACUGUCCAAAACCUUUGUAGGAACUCUUUUCCAACCUUUGGGAAUUAGUUAGACAAAAAAAUUAAGAUAAAUGAAAAAAAAAUUUUUGGGGUGUUCGGGCUUCCUGAAGGUAAUACCCGGGUAUUAGGUUUUUGGGCUAGGGUAAGGUUUAAGGUUUUUGGUGUUAGGGUUAAAAUAACUGUCCAAAACCUUUGUAGGAACUCUUUUCCAACCUUUUGGAGUUAGUUAGACCAAAAAGAAAAAAAAAAGAAAAAAAUAUAUUUGGGGUCUUCGGGCUUCCUGAAGGAAAUACCCAGGUAUUAGGUUUUGGGGUUAGGGUAAGGUUUAAGGUUUUUGGCGUUAGGGUUAAAAUCACUGUCCAAAACCUUUUUAGGAACAUGUUUCAGACCUUUUGGAGUUGGUAACACCAAAAAAAAAUGUAAAAUAAAAAAAAAUAUUUGGGGUGUUCAAGCUUGCUGAAGGUAAUACCAAGGUAUUAGGUUAUGGGGCUAUAGUAAGGUUUAAGGUUUUUGGCGUUAGGGUUAAAAUCACUGUCCAAAACCUUUGUAGGAACUAUUUUCCAACCUUUUGGAGUUAGUUAGACCAAAAAAAAACGAAAAAUGAAAAAAAAUAUUUGGGGUGUUCGGGCUUCCUGAAGGUAAUACCAAGGUAUUAGGUUAUGGGGCUAGGGUAAGGUUUAAGGUUUUUGGCGUUAGGGUUAAAAUCACUGUCCAAAACCUUUUUAGGAACAUGUUUCAGACCUUUUGGAGUUGGUUACACCAAAAAAAAUGUAAAAUGAAAAAGAAUUUUUUUUGGGUGUUCGGGCUUCCUGAAGGUAAUACUAGGUUUCUGGGCUAGGGUAAUGUUUUAGGUUUUUGGCGUUAAGGUUAAAAUCAAUGUCCAAAACCUUUGUAGGAACUCUUUUCCAACCUUUGAGAGCAAGUUAGACCAAAACAAAAAGAAAAAUAAAAAAUAUAUAUUUGGGGUGUUCGGGCUUCCUGAAGGUAAUACCCGGGUAUUAGGUUAUGGGGCUAGGGUAAGGUUUAAGGUUUUUUGGCGUGAGGGUAAAAAUCACUGUCCAAAACCUUUGUAGGAACUCUUUUCCAACAUUUGGGAAUAAGUUAGACAAAAAAAAUAAGAUAAAUGAAAAAAAACAUAUUUGGG
This 1906-nucleotide long non-coding RNA is filed under the name Xyrichtys novacula (pearly razorfish). The record is from RNAcentral. Lineage: Eukaryota; Metazoa; Chordata; Actinopteri; Labriformes; Labridae.